CCUACGGGAGGCAGCAGUGAGGAAUAUUGGUCAAUGGACGAGAGUCUGAACCAGCCAAGUAGCGUGCAGGAUGACUGCCCUAUGGGUUGUAAACUUCUUUUAUAUGGGAAUAAAAUGUUCCACGUGUGGGAUUUUGUAUGUACCAUAUGAAUAAGGAUCGGCUAACUCCGUGCCAGCAGCCGCGGUAAUACGGAGGAUCCGAGCGUUAUCCGGAUUUAUUGGGUUUAAAGGGAGCGUAGGUGGUAUGUUAAGUGAGUUGUGAAAGUUUGCGGCUCAACCGUAAAAUUGCAGUUGAAACUGGCAGUCUUGAGUACAGUAGAGGUGGGCGGAAUUCGUGGUGUAGCGGUGAAAUGCUUAGAUAUGACGAAGAACUCCGAUUGCGAAGGCAGUUCACUGGACUGCAACUGACACUGAGGCUCGAAAGUGUGGGUAUCAAACAGGAUUAGAUACCCGAGUAGUC
RNAcentral lists this ribosomal RNA (460 nucleotides) under uncultured bacterium. Its description in RNAcentral is "partial 16S ribosomal RNA". It matches the Rfam family "Bacterial small subunit ribosomal RNA", at positions 338 to 795 of the family's 1533-position model. The record is from RNAcentral.